This is a non-coding RNA of Capsicum annuum, 106 nucleotides long. Lineage: Eukaryota; Viridiplantae; Streptophyta; Magnoliopsida; Solanales; Solanaceae. The record is from Rfam.
UGAUGAUGGUUAGGGAAAUUUCUAAGCAUAGCGUUGAAUCUUUCCCAAGCUUUUAAAGAUUUUCUCCAUCUUUCUACUUGAAACUUAGAAUCUCACUUCUCAAAUG